CCUACUAUGUUACGACUUAUCUCAUCUUAAUAAUGAAAGCGACGGGCGAUAUGUACAUGAUUUAGAGCUUAUAUCUAACUAAGCUUAUUAAACUUACUUUACAAUCAAAUCCUCCUUCUAAUCAACUCUUUAAAUUGAUAUUCCGUAUUAAAUAAAUUUUAUUGUAACCCAUUUUAACUUAAGCAUUAGCUGCACCUUGAUCUAAUAUAUUUAACGUUAUUAACAAAUAUACAGUAAUUUAUUCUAUAAAAAUUACCUAAUAAUGAUGGUAUACAUACUACAACAAGCUUAAGUAAGAUUCUUCGUGGUGUAUCGAUUCAAAAACAGGUUCCUCUGACAAGACUAAAUCACCGCCAAAUUCUUCAAAUUUCAAGUACAUAACUUUAAAUACUUAGGGUUUGUAUAAUAUUACUUUUCGGUAU
RNAcentral lists this ribosomal RNA (422 nucleotides) under Scylla olivacea (orange mud crab). RNAcentral describes it as "partial 12S ribosomal RNA". The record is from RNAcentral. Lineage: Eukaryota; Metazoa; Arthropoda; Malacostraca; Decapoda; Portunidae.